RNAcentral lists this long non-coding RNA (349 nucleotides) under Musa acuminata (dwarf banana). RNAcentral's name for it is "long non-coding RNA (MACU_LNC002088)". Lineage: Eukaryota; Viridiplantae; Streptophyta; Magnoliopsida; Zingiberales; Musaceae. The record is from RNAcentral.
UCCCUUCUCCCUCUCCGCUUCUUCCUCCCCUUAAUAGGCCACGGUCACUCGAGCAGACCGGCCAUGAGUACAAGGGCAGCGUAAUCAUUGCCAUUGACCAUCGUCGCAUCUCGAGAUGAUGACGGCGGGGAGUAGGAAGAGGAGUUGGGAUCCUCGCCAAUUCGUGCCGAGGGAACCAAGAUACGAAGUGCCAUCGACUUGGGAAGGAAGCCACAAACCCUGACGCCGCGAUCCGUGUGCCCGUCUCCCGCGAGCUUACUUCGGAUCAGCGCCUACCCACAUAAUGGUGACAACUUGACCGGACCGGCGAAUGGGGGGAACGAGUGCAUCGUGUAUUCAAAACAAAAAA